GAUUCCCCUAGUAACUGCGAGUGAGGCGGGAAAAGCUCAAAUUUAAAAUCUGGCAGUCUCCAGCUGUCCGAGUUGUAAUCUAGAGAAGUGUUAUCCGCGUUGGACCGUGUACAAGUCUCCUGGAAUGGAGCAUCAUAGAGGGUGAGAAUCCCGUCUUUGACACGGACUGCCAGGGCUUUGUGAUGCGCUCUCAAAGAGUCGAGUUGUUUGGGAAUGCAGCUCAAAAUGGGUGGUAAAUUCCAUCUAAAGCUAAAUAUUGGCGAGAGACCGAUAGCGAACAAGUACCGUGAGGGAAAGAUGAAAAGAACUUUGAAAAGAGGGUUAAAUAGCACGUGAAAUUGUUGAAAGGGAA
RNAcentral lists this ribosomal RNA (352 nucleotides) under uncultured fungus. RNAcentral's name for it is "eukaryotic LSU rRNA". It matches the Rfam family "Eukaryotic large subunit ribosomal RNA", at positions 73 to 418 of the family's 3401-position model. Lineage: Eukaryota; Fungi. The record is from RNAcentral.